GCGCUCCUGGGCCGGUCCAUUUUUGUCUCCCCUUCAGCGAUGGUUUCUCUCCUCUCGCUGAAGGCGAGAUAUAGGUGCGCCCGUUACUUCCCGGGCUUAUCGGUGCACCUUUAAACCUGACAAUCUCGGGCUCUUCAGUGCGCUCAGAAUAGCUGCUCUUAAAUUUUAAGAGCGAUUUUUUUCGCACGUAGAUUGAAAAUAUAUUUUAUGAGCAUAAGAGAAAAUAUUUCAGAGUGUAGGUUCCAUCCAUGGCGAGGCAGAAUUUACAGAGUGGGGCUACCUAAAAAAAACAGACCUCACUAGGAGCGUUGCACUAGGGCUGUCUGUGGGCCUUAUUGCAUGCUUUCUGGCCAUAUCUUUCUCCACUGUCUGUCAAUCCAUACAUCAUGAGACUCUCAGAUAAUUGAAUUUUGCACCAACUCUGCUGGGCAGCCCAUUGUGCUGAAUAGAAAUAAUGAGUUACAUCAUUCUGUACUCUGUAGUGUGUGGGCACAACUUGACCAGACAAAUACUAUGAUGCCCCUUGUGCCGUUCAGCUCUGAUCAAUACAUCUUUACACAUUUCUACAUCCACUGAAAUUGCCAUGGCAAUCAGAAUAGGCAUCCAUAUCCUCGAUCAUCAGGAAAGCAAUGGUGAUUAGUACCAACUUCUAGUGCCACCGAAAGAGAUUUUCUAUGUGCGUCUGAUGUCUUUUCAUUUCAUGAGGCCCUUUCACUUUCAUGGAGUAAUAGAAAAAAAAACUGUGGUAGCUGCCUAUUAGCCCCAAAGAGGCGCAAAGCCUUUGUCGAUUUGGGUGAUUGCGCUUCCCACUUUUAUUCGCCACGACGAUCAAAGGCUCUCGAUGCUGCUAGUGCGUGGUUGUACGUGGUAACUAGCAUGCUCCAAGAGAGGAUGUAAUUGCUCUCAAGAAAGAAUCUUAGGUUGAGCCGAGCCCAACUUUGGUGAGCACUGCCGGCCGGUGGCUAGCUUUAUAUCAGCAUGUGUCUGUCGACUGUCAAGGCUCACUUUGAUUCUCCAUCCAACAACCAUGCAUGCUUUGUCAACCCUCACUUGAUCUUUUCCCUCCCAACAUACAUCUGUUAAUCAUCAUAAUGUUCAAGGCCAUGCAUCUACAAUUACAAAAGUGUACUACUCUCUAGGAAUAGACCGGCGAUUCCUAGUUGUUGAUGCCACCAGUAUGCAUGCAUGCCUGGAUCUGACUGUAGCUCGCCGGACCGGUUGUUGCCAUCCCCUGCAGUUGGGAGGUCUGGUCUGGAGCAAUCUUUCACUGCAACUCAUGCAUACAAUCAAUGGCCUUGCCUUCCAUGCUUAUGGAAUGGUGCUGCUCUUAGCAAGCCAUUCCCAUACUUUAAAGCCAAGCCACAUCCGCUUCCUACUCCUGCACCAAAUACUACUUCUAGUAUAGUAAUUAAAAGCCUUAUUCGUCGCUCAAGUUCAUGGUUGCUUCUGGUUGGUUGGUGACCUCCGAACCAUCGCUGAAGGGUCUACAGGAAGGAUGCAUCAUCAUGCAACAGCCACCAGCUGGCCGUGCAGUUGGAUGGAUCGGGUGCUAUGAUCGCUAGUGCUAGAUGUAGUAAAGCUAAUCAACUAAUUGCCGUACUUACCAGUAUUGUUUAAUCAGGUCCACACGCAUUUUCAUGCAAAUUAACCUACCCGGCUAAAGCUAGCACCACUGCACCAGUCUGACCAGAGUCGCCCUGGGUGCAUGCUUGAUGGCACUUCUAGUUCUAGGUUCUACACCAUCUAGUAAACAAGAUCAAAUUUCACACCAUUCUAAUCUAGCAAAAUUCUUGGUCAUUAUAUGUUUCUAAACAUGCCGGUUUUCCCCUUCCGUAGAGACGUAAGGUGAGUGUCACUAACAUCUACUGCCAAUAUCAGUAGCGUAGCACUUGUAGCAGGUAGUCUUAAUUGUUUUGCAAAACGGAAAACUGGAAAUAGCUGAUCUCGCUCGUGGGAUGGAAUUAUAUCCGAUUGUAAUGCGAUGAUAUAUGGUAGAACGAUUUUCCUUUUCUGGAUCUCAUCUGAUCAGACAUCUGAGACAGUAUACAUUUGCAGAACUAUCUAUGAGGAAGCGUAGAACCCUUUGUCUCGGACCGCAUUGUAUUUAUAGGAUCAAUACCAUGACAUACAAGUUGAUUCUCUAGGAGGUUACAAGAGAUAAGGGAAAGGCAAAGAGAUAAGAGGAAACCGGUUUAAAGUGAUUUCCUAUCCCUAUACAGUUUAUAUUCUAACACUCCCCCUCAAUCUAAACUCUAUUUGCCAAGGUUGAGAUUGUACUUGAAAUCAUCUAACCUCCUCACUGUGAGAGGCUUUGUGAACCCAUCAGCAAGUUGAUCAAGUAACUUCCGAGUUACUCUUUCUCUGACAAAAUGAAAAUCAACUUCAAUAUGUUUUGUCCGUGCAUGAAAAACAGGGUUUGCUGAAAGAUAGGUUGCAUCAAGAUUGUCACACCAUAAUCUAGCAGCUUGUGGAACUUUCACUCCAAGUUCAUGUAACAGUGUCUGAAUCCACAUUACUUCAGCUGUUGCAUUAGCCAAAGCUUUAUACUCAGCCUCAGUGCUUGACCUCGAGACCGUUGCCUAUUUUCUUGCACUCCAUGACACAAGGUUUGUUGCCAGAAACACAACAAAACCACCAGUUGACCUUCUAUCAUCUGCACAUCCUGCCCAAUCUGCAUCAGAGUAUGCUAAUACAAGCAUAGAUGAAGACUUAACAAUCUGGAGACCAAGUCCCUCUGUAAACUUGAGAUACCUCAAAAUCCUUUUUACUGCUGUCCAAUGAGAAGUAGUAGGAGCAUGCAAAUAUUGGCAUACUUUGUUAACAGAGUAUGAAAUAUCAGGACGUGUAAGAGUCAAGUACUGUAAUGCACCUACAAUGCUUCUAUAAUUUGUUGCAUCAUCUGGCCCAAGUGCUUCUCCACUUUCAAUAGUAAGUUUUUCUAAAGUAGAGAUAGGUGUACUGACUGGCUUACACUUUUCCAUACCUACCCUUCUGAGAAUAUCAGUUGUAUAUUUUCCUUGUGUAAGAAUUAUACCAUCCUUUACCUUCUUGACCUCAAUUCCAAGAAAGUAAUGUAGAUCUCCCAAAUCCUUAAGAGCAAAUUCCAGUUUUAGAUCCUUGAGCAAGCAAGUUGUGGCAUCUGGACUUGAACUGGCAACAAUUAUGUCAUCAACAUAGACAAGAAAAAAUAUAGUAACAUUGUUCUUAUUAUAAAAGAAUAAUGAAGUAUCGCCUUUGAUGAUGAAAACCCAAGCUUUUCAACUGUGUACUUAGCCUUGAGUACCAGGCUCUUGGGGCCUGUUUUAACCCAUACAAAGCUUUAUCCAACUUACAGAUAUAAUGUGGUGUGUUUUUGUUUUCAUAUCCUGGCGGCUGCCGCAUGAACACUUCUUCCUCAAGAACACCAUGAAGAAACACGUUCUAGACGUCUAGCUGUCGUAGGCUCCAACCUCUGGAAAUAGCAAUAGACAACACAAGUCGAAUAGUAGCAGAUUUAAUAACAGGACUAAAGGUAUCCUCAUAGUCUAUACCAAAUCUCUGUUUAAAACCUUUUGCAACUAGUCUGGCCUUGUAUCUGUCAAUACUACCAUCAGCUCUUUUCUUAAUUUUAUAUACCCAUUUGCAGUCAAUCACAUUUGCACCCCUCUUUGGUCGAACUAACCGCCAAGUUUUAUUUUGAAUGAGUGCAUCAUAUUCAACAUCCAUAGCCUUCUUCCAAUCCUUAUGUGCAAGAGCAUCAUGCAAAUUUGUUGGUUCACCACUAUUUGCGAGGAAAGCAUGUUUAAGUUUAUCAUACCUGACCGUACCAUCCGUAUAUUUCUUUUCCCGGACAAUACCGGACCGAGACCGUGUAUGACGGGGAGGAACCGGUGUUGCACCACGUCUGGCCACAAAAGAUCCCGAUCCUGCAGUAACACUGUCAUGCACAGGAGAUCCGACCGGGCCGACCGAGCCUUCGCCUGGUGCAGACGUGGCAAUAGCACACGCGUUGCCCCCCUCGUCAGCGGCAUCGG
RNAcentral lists this long non-coding RNA (4013 nucleotides) under Hordeum vulgare. RNAcentral describes it as "long non-coding RNA (HVUL_LNC001587)". The record is from RNAcentral. Lineage: Eukaryota; Viridiplantae; Streptophyta; Magnoliopsida; Poales; Poaceae.